UGUGCUCACAGUUCAAUGUCUCUAGAUUAUAGGCGUUAUGAGGACAGAGUACUGGUUUACAGUACAAAAUUCCUGGGACAUAGAACACUGCCCAGCACAAAUAAUGAUUUGAUCAAUAAUUGUUGAAGGAAUAGACUAAAUGAAGGAACUGACAACUCAAGGGAAAGAGUAAUGACUCCAUGAAAGAGCCAAAAAAGAAGAAAAAAAGUGUUAUGUUGCUAGCUUGCCAGAUGAGGAGGAAAACAAAUGGUAUUCCAACUCAACGAAUGAGGAAACAAAACCUCAGAGAGGUUAAUGACUACAUAUAGAUCUAGACCUGUGUGACCUUCCCAACACCCAGGAGAGACAGACACAGUCACAUCCCCACUUACAGAUGAAGACUUCAAGACGCAGAGCGGUGGAGGGACUUGCCCGAGUCCUGGAGCUGGGAGAACUCCCGAGACCCUGGGAUGGUGGCAUGGCCCCUGCACCUCCGCUGCCUCCCCCAUGGUGAAAGUACAGCACAGGCGGGGCUGCGAGAGAGCAGCGGAGAGAUUAUGCAGUAGCUAUCUUUGGAGGCGUCACUGCCCACGGUGUUUUUAGGAUGAAUAAUUGCUUGAAUUCCUCAAGGCUUUAUAAAUAGAUGGAGAGGAUGCUGCGGGGUUGGGAGUGACGCCCAGCAAGAACUGCAGAGUCGGCAGCCCCAAGGACCUGUCCUCCACAGAAACACGCACACAAAGAUAAGCAAAAGCCGUCAGAAUCAACUUUGUGGAACUCUGGGAAAUAAUCAAAGAUUUACAGCAAGCAAGCAAAAAAAAGUGCACUAAUGACUUAAAUACAGCAUUUGUGGAAAUCUCAGUCAAACCUCUAGCUGACCAUGAGCUACAGGACCAGGGACUUCAGAGAACACACAUUGAUGAAGAAUAUAGUCUUCAACUAGAGUGCCUCCUAAUGUUGGCUUUGUUGGAAGCUGGGCCAACAGUAUUUGCUAGUUUGCUUUGUGGUCAGCUAUGCCUUUUCAUUGGCUUAAUGAGAAGCCAGGACUC
This 1025-nucleotide long non-coding RNA is filed under the name Homo sapiens (human). Its description in RNAcentral is "HSALNT0304890". The record is from RNAcentral. Lineage: Eukaryota; Metazoa; Chordata; Mammalia; Primates; Hominidae.